Molecule: long non-coding RNA, 2354 nt
Organism: Alligator mississippiensis (American alligator)
Lineage: Eukaryota; Metazoa; Chordata; Crocodylia; Alligatoridae
Exons: 4
Source: RefSeq, a predicted model, not a curated record
AGCCCUACUUCUCCAUGAAUCUAAUAAUAAUAACAACAACCUGUGCAGUGCAUUGUCGUUCCUUGAGUUCCCGUGUGUCUCGGGGUUUAUAAUUUAUUAGCAAACCUUUGUAGCUUUUCUUGGCCAUCUCGCCCUUGGUUUCUCUGUGUCUUAUCCCGGUUUUAUUAUCACUCCUCCCAGGCAGGUCGGGGGCGGUCUGUGCAUAACGGAGAAGCUGGAUCCGGCCCCUCCGGGCAGCCCGGGGACAGGCACCGGACUGCAGCUGAACAGCGUGGCCACAAGAGCUGAAGCAAGGACUUAAAUCAGCCUCGGGGUGGGGGAAAAAAAAACUACUCCGAGCCAGGCAGGAGUCGAACCUACAAUCUUCUGAUCCGUAGUCAGACGCGUUAUCCAUUGCGCCACUGGCCCAGGACACAGCUUGGUUCCGCCACGGUGUGUGAUACAGCUGAGCUGCGGGAGGGCUGGGAGGGUUCCAGCAGGUGCUUCCUCCUGUCCGCCCUCCCAGCCCCGCCGGGCCACCAGCCCAAGCUCCGGGACCCCCGCCCCGUGCUGGUGCCAGCUCGGCGUGUGAGCCGGGCCCCGGCUGCCUGUACCCGCACGUGCACGACAACUGCUUCGCAGCCAGCAGGCUCCAGCUCGGCGAGAGGCUUUAUACAUCUCCGGAAAAAACUUUUUUAUGUCCCUUCGAUAGCUCAGCUGGUAGAGCGGAGGACUGUAGUGGAAAUGUGUGCUGACAUCCUUAGGUCGCUGGUUCGAUUCCGGCUCGAAGGAGGCUUUUUUUUUUUUUUAAAUCCUCCUACCCCUGCUGGGGGCAGCCCGGUUUUUCAGGGCUCAGUUGCUCCGAAAUGAGAGCUGCUUGGCGCGGACUGACUGUAUAAGGAUCGGGCCAAAACAUGACAAGUAUAUGCACAUUUGUCUUCCACUGAAAUCAAGUGCAGCUGAAAGUGUAUACCAUACAACAGAAAUUGGUCCCUCAGAGCAAGGGAAGUAAUUAUGUGCUGCAUAUUUACAGUCAAUUCACAACUGUUCCUCAGCCCUGGAGUGAGCAGGGGGGAAUGGAUCGUAUUGAGAUCUUAGAAGAACAGUGGAGAAAGAAGCAACAGACAGCCAGUUCCAUGGAGAAGUGAGCAAGCAAACAGGUGGUUGACUGUCUAAGGACAUUCCUUCUUAGACAGCUCAUCUGGAAACUGCAGUCAGACUGUGUUCGCUCCCAGUUUAUGAGUCUGUGUGAUAGCUGCGGUGGCUGUCCCCAAUUAGCUGAGUUUUCUCAUUUGCAUUUGUCGGCUGGAGUAUAAUUGGAGUUUCUCCAUCUAAAUCAACCAGAAAAAAAUAUUCCUCUAAACAUUUUUGAUUUGAUACAAAAGUCAAGAUACUUUUUUCAACAGAAUUACAUUGUUUCACCUACAGACUCUUUAGGGCCUAAUCCCAGAUUCAUGGAUGAAGAAAAAAUACAAGAUUGUAUUCUAAAUCAGAGCGGGUGCAUCUACAUGUUCAUUAAUGCACCAUAAUUAUGGCACAUUAAGUUUAGUACCUGUAAUAACAGGUACUAACUUAACGAGCCGUAAUUGGCACUACUGUGCAUUACCGCAGAUGAAUGCUUUUUGUGACAUUAAUGUGUAUUAGACUAAAUCUACUCUGCAUUAGAACAUUAGCAUGAUUUUUGCCAGCCGUGCUAAUGUGCAGUAGAAUUAGUCUCUGAGUAUUAAGCACCUCAUGUAGACAUGCCCAGCAUGUACCCAAAGAAUUCUAUGCUUAAUAUUAAUAUGAAGUGUACAUAUGAUGCCAACUUUGUACACUUACCCCAUAUCAUUACCUCGUAAACUAUCUUGAAACAUAACCAUAGCCAUGCAAACAUAUUGUUGUUGUUAUUAUUAUAUUGAACACUUACUUGAUGGAUGCUUUACAGAUUCAAAGAUCAGAAUCCAUGCCCCUUACAUAUAUAAUCUAAGUUCUUGAUACUGCAAAGACUUUUGGGUGUACUGGUUACUCAUUAAACUUAUUUUAACUCAUCAUAGCAAGUUAGUAAGACUGGGCCCUUUGAUUUAGAGAAUAUAAAGAUAAUGAUAGAGAAAGAAGGGAUGAGUGUUAAAAUGGGAAAAAAAUGUAAGUAGUGAUAUAUUCAGGAGAAAACAAAUCAUAUAGUUUCUGAAGGCCAAUAGGGUCUAUAAAAAUGCUAAGUAGCCUUUUGAAAUCCUGUGUAAGACAUUUAUCAGAAGACUUUGAGAAAUCAUUCAGAACACUUUGGGGCUGGCAGAGAUUCAUAUGGCUAUGUUAAUUCUUAAAGCUUUGUAUACUCUCAUUUAUCAGAUUCAUGUUUUUGUUUUCCCAACACAUCAAUAAAAAUGAGUCAAGCA